UCGCUCAACGGAUAAAAGGUACGCCGGGGAUAACAGGCUUAUCUCCCCCAAGAGUUCACAUCGACGGGGAGGUUUGGCACCUCGAUGUCGGCUCAUCGCAUCCUGGGGCUGGAGAAGGUCCCAAGGGUUCGGCUGUUCGCCGAUUAAAGCGGUACGCGAGCUGGGUUUAGAACGUCGUGAGACAGUUCGGUCCCUAUCUGCCGCGGGCGCAGGAUAUUUGAGAGGAGCUGUCCCUAGUACGAGAGGACCGGGAUGGACGAACCUCUGGUGUACCAGUUGUGGCGCCAGCCGCACUGCUGGGUAGCCAUGUUCGGAAGGGAUAACCGCUGAAGGCAUCUAAGCGGGAAGCCCACCUCAAGAUUAGAUAUCCCUCCCUGAUGGCAACAUCAGGGGUAAGACCCCAGGGAGAACACCUGGUUGAUAGGCCGGAUGUGUAAGUCCAGUAAUGGAUUUAGCUAACCGGUACUAAUCGGUCGAGAGGCUUGACCAC
RNAcentral lists this ribosomal RNA (490 nucleotides) under Deltaproteobacteria bacterium. RNAcentral describes it as "partial 23S ribosomal RNA". It matches the Rfam family "Bacterial large subunit ribosomal RNA", at positions 2445 to 2925 of the family's 2925-position model. Lineage: Bacteria; Pseudomonadati; Myxococcota; Myxococcia. The record is from RNAcentral.